AACGUACGCUGGCGGCACGCCUAACACAUGCAAGUCGAACGAAGUAGCAAUACUUAGUGGCAGACGGGUGAGUAACAUGUAGGUAUCUGCCCUUUGGCCUGGAAUAACACGAGGAAACUUGUGCUAAUACCGGAUAAGUCUUUACGGAGAAAGCUUUAUGCACCAUUGGAUGAGCCUGCACUUGAUUAGUUUGUUGGUAGGGUAAUGGCCUACCAAGACUGUGAUCAAUAGCUGAUUUGAGAGGAUGAUCAGCCACAUUGGGACUGAGACACGGCCCAAACUCCUACGGGAGGCAGCAGUGGGGAAUCUUGCACAAUGGAGGAAACUCUGAUGCAGCGAUGCCGCGUGAGUGAAGAAGGCCCUUGGGUUGUAAAGCUCUUUCGUCGGGGAAGAAAAUGACUGUACCCGAAUAAGAAGGUCCGGCUAACUUCGUGCCAGCAGCCGCGGUAAUACGAAGGGACCUAGCGUAGUUCGGAAUUACUGGGCUUAAAGAGUUCGUAGGUGGUUGAAAAAGUUAGUGGUGAAAUCCCAGAGCUUAACUCUGGAACUGCCAUUAAAACUUUUCAGCUAGAGUAUGAUAGAGGAAAGCAGAAUUUCUAGUGUAGAGGUGAAAUUCGUAGAUAUUAGAAAGAAUACCAAUUGCGAAGGCAGCUUUCUGGAUCAUUACUGACACUGAGGAACGAAAGCAUGGGUAGCGAAGAGGAUUAGAUACCCUCGUAGUCCAUGCCGUAAACGAUGUGUGUUAGACGUUGGAAAUUUAUUUUCAGUGUCGCAGGGAAACCGAUAAACACACCGCCUGGGGAGUACGACCGCAAGGUUAAAACUCAAAUGAAUUGACGGGGACCCGCACAAGUAGUGGAGCAUGUGGUUUAAUUCGAAGAUACGCGCAGAACCUUACCAACACUUGACAUGUUCGUCGCGACUCUAAGAGAUUAGAGUUUUCGGUUCGGCCGGACGAAACACAGGUGCUGCAUGGCUGUCGUCAGCUCGUGUCGUGAGAUGUUGGGUUAAGUCCCGCAACGAGCGCAACCCCCACUUUUAGUUGCCAUCAUUAAGUUGGGCACUCUGAAAGAACUGCCAGUGAUAAGCUGGAGGAAGGUGGGGAUGACGUCAAGUCCUCAUGGCCCUUACGUGUUGGGCUACACACGUGCUACAAUGGUAUCUACAACAGGAAGCAAGACUGCGAAGUUAAGCAAAUCCCUAAAAGAUACCUCAGUUCGGAUUGCACUCUGCAACUCGAGUGCAUGAAGCUGGAAUUACUAGUAAUCGUGGAUCAACGUGCCACGGUGAAUGCGUUCCCGGGUCU
Molecule: ribosomal RNA, 1306 nt
Filed under: uncultured bacterium
Lineage: Bacteria
Description: bacterial SSU rRNA
Rfam family: Bacterial small subunit ribosomal RNA
Source: RNAcentral